AACGCACGAGACCUGCGGACCUGCGGAAGGAUCAUUAUAGGAAAAAAGUUUAAAAAUAAGUUGCAGGGAUGUUGUAUGACUCUCUGCUUCUUCAAACAAACUAUCGCAACUAUAAAACGAGGGGGGAAAUACGUGAAAAAAAAAGUGUUUGCCUGAUAUAUACGAUCAGAGAUUUGAUGAGGGGAAAAAAUAAAACUUUUAACAACGGAUCUCU
This 214-nucleotide unclassified non-coding RNA is filed under the name soil metagenome. RNAcentral's name for it is "partial contains 5.8S ribosomal RNA, internal transcribed spacer 2, and large subunit ribosomal RNA". The record is from RNAcentral.